This 358-nucleotide ribosomal RNA is filed under the name uncultured Dehalococcoidia bacterium. RNAcentral's name for it is "bacterial SSU rRNA". It matches the Rfam family "Bacterial small subunit ribosomal RNA", at positions 1010 to 1382 of the family's 1533-position model. Lineage: Bacteria; Bacillati; Chloroflexota; Dehalococcoidia. The record is from RNAcentral.
CGCCACCUGUUAAAUCAGGAGCCGUUCACAGGUGCUGCAUGGCUGUCGUCAGCUCGUGCCGUGAGGUGUUGGGUUAAGUCCCCCAACGAGCGUAACCCUCGUUGCCAGUUGUUUCUCUGGCGAGACUGCCCUGCAAAACGGGGAGGAAGGUGGGGAUGACGUCAAGUCAGCAUGGCCUUUAUGCCUUGGGCCACACACACGCUACAAUGGACGGUACAAUAGGUUGCAAUGGAGCGAUUCGGAGCUAAUCCUAAAAGCCGUUCUCAGUUCGGAUUGCAGGCUGAAACCCGCCUGCAUGAAGCCGGAGUUGCUAGUAACCGCAGGUCAGCAUACUGCGGUGAAUACGUUCUCGGGCCUU